CACCCCCCCCCCCAUUCACUGAUUUAAGCCAACCACAAAAUUACAUCGGGAAAGUAUAUUUUGGAAGAAGGGCGGGGUCCGAGUAGAUAAUCCGCAUUCAGAUUAAAUCGACCGAGAGAAUGAGGGGAGUGUAUUUGUUGAGGUCACCAACUACCGAGAAUCAACGUUCAAUUCUCAGGGAAAGCACUGGAGAGGGGGAAGGGUGGGCGCAGGUCCGAGGCUGAGCCCCUGGCGGGCUGGGGGUGCGGGCGCUCGCGCGUGGAGGGGGGAGACUCCCGGAUGAUCCCACGCGCGGCCCCGGCGCGCCAGGCAGGAGCGCGCAGGGCGGCGAUUCACUCUCUCGGGGCGUCCCUAAUGGGCACUCGUGCAUUCCUGCUCGUGCGGUGAGCGCACGCACGCUGCCGCUGGGUUUCAGGCCCCCAAAUAAAGGCGGCGGCGCGGGGUGGGGGGCGGGCACCAAGCGAAGGAGCUCCAGGCAGAUUGUCUUGUCUCUCCCAGGAGCUGGGAAGAGGGCCAGCCCCGUGCCCUGCACGCCGGGCUCUGCUCGGCAGCUUGCCGGUGAACGGAGAGCCGGUGGAGCAGCAGCCGCCGCGCACGGUUCGGGCCGUGUCACCAUUUCUGCGCCUGCUGACCUGCCCUGGAGAGGGAGAAGGCGGCAGCACCUCAGAGGAAUUAUUUCAUCAGCACUCAUCAAUUAUUGCUAAUUGUUUUGUGCUAAAAACACUAAAAUAUUAAGAAAACAGAAGAGUGAGAGAAUCACCACCUAGAAGGAUGAUACGACAGUGAAAUAAACCAUCAGUACUGCAUCAUCUGCUUCCUUAUUACAUUCCUUAGCGUAUUACAUCAUCUUGCAAGAAGGUAUAGAAGACGGAAGACACCAUUUUUGUUUCUUUCAUUGCAUCCAGUUGAGAAUCCAGAAUUUUUCGUUUCCUAUACAAGAUGGUAAAGAGAAGAAAAUUGACAAAAGAAAAUGUUUUAUCAUAGUUAGACACAUCAGAAGGGACAGCAGUGCUGUUGACUCUAAUAAUGCUCAUGAAAUUGCUUUUAUAAGCAAAAUCUCAGACUAUGAGUCUUACAAGAUAAUAAUCUGGAUGAAUUUUUCUCAAACUUCUGAAUCGAUGAAUAAACAGUAUCUUUCCGAGGACAAAGAGAAACUAUGAUAUUCUCAUCCAGUUAGUCAUUCGUCAGGAAUGAUUUCAUCACCCAAUAUUUUGCAACAAGAACCUGGACCAUCCUGUUUUGCUCAAAGAUCUUAAAACCUUGAAGAAGGCAGAACAACUGGGAAGAGAAAGAAGUAAAAGAGAGAAAAAAUAAAAACUUCAAAGCAAAGAGAUGGAAAGGAACAAAGAGAAAGAACAAGAAGAAGCUCUCCGGUGUCUGUUCUUAUAAGGGCACCAAUCCCAUCCUGAGGGCCCCACCUGCACGACCUCACCUCACCCCAAGUACCUCCCAAAGCUUCACCUCUGGGCGCCUCACAGGGCACCAAAAGGCACCCAAAGGUGUCAACUCUCAAGAUUUAGAGGAAAACGCAGCAGUUGUGAAUGCCUGCCUGCCUCUGUUCCUGCUCAGUCAUGCUCUGCUCUCCGGAUUCCUGAGUCAGCUUCAGAUUGCAGAGGAAGACAAGUCUCUCACAGACCGAGCAGCCUUAGGAGUUUGAGAGCGGGGAGCACCCCCUCAGGAAAGCACAGAAUUGGUGGAAGCUGGCUAGGGAAUGGCCUUCAGUCAGGCCUGACCAGACAGAGCCAAGGUUCCCUGCGUCACCCGAGAAGAGCCUUCCGUGCGGGCUCAGGGCAGCCCGGGAAAUGACUCAUUGGUGUCCCUCCUUUUCUCACGCUCUUAGAAGCUCCAGCCUCUUGUGGCUUUCUCUGCCGUCAGGAUGGCACCAGGGGCCCGAAGUGACUUCCUGGGAGCCAGGUGGUGAGGUCAUCAUGGAAGGAAUGUGUCAGGGCUCUUUUGCUCUGAAGUGGAUCUCUGUCCCUCCCGAGCCCCGCCUCUGGCAUCACCCCAACCAGUCCUGGGGUCCUUUUUCUUGUCGCUGCUGCCACCGCUGUCCAUCUGCUUCCCUACUGUACAGACUGUUUUGCUUCAGUCUGUAGCAGUUUCUGCACAUGGAGACCUGUUCUUUCCAACAAGUGAACGAUAAGCUUCCUCAAGUCGGGUUCCUUCUGCGUGAUGCUACAGUCCUGGACGCGCCAGCAGCUCUUGAGGACACAGAUCUGGGAUUUGUGCAUGGUGACCAGUGAAGACCUCUGGCUCAACAGAGAAAACAUGGAGGCUUUGGUCCCCCGCCAUUCCCCAGAGAACCGCAGAUCACUGCAGCCUCUGUCCCACUGUCACAACCUGUGACUCUGAGGUGCAAAUUUGGCCAUGCCGGAGAGGUAAUUUUAGGGAGCAGAAUCGAGCAGUUGCUUCUGCCUUAAUUUCUGAUGCUUUACGAAGGCAGAGCUGAAGGCUGCACCACCAGGAACUUGUUCUGGAGACUGGAAGUCAGAAAUCAGGCAAGGUGCUGGCCUUCUGGAGGCCUUCGAGGAGAAUCCGUGUUCUUGGCUUUCCCACCUGCUGAAGCCACUUGCAUGGGUAGGCUGCUGGGCCCUGGCUCCAUCUGCAGAGUGCAUCACCCCAGCCUCUGGCCUGUCAUCACAUGGCCUUCUUCUCUGACUCUGACUCCCCUCGUGCCCCUCUUACGAGGAGCCUUGGGAUGACACUGGCCCACUGGGAUACUCCAGGGUCAUCUCCCCAUCUUAAGAUCUUGGACUUCAUCACAUCUGCAGGGCCCUUUGUUCCAAGGUCAAAAUUGCAGGUCCUAGGAGUUAGGAGAGGGCCAUCUUUGGGCCUCGCUACUUAGGGCCAUUAUUCAGCCUACUGCCGACCCCCUUAGAGCAGAUGUUGCCAAUACGCUUUGAGCUUCAGCAGAAGCCUGCCCCACAGCUGUUUCUCUGGAAGGUGAUGGUUGGUAUUCAGAGGCUGAGGCCAGUCUUUUUCUGUGUACUCGUGAAUACCACGUGGCUUGAGAGCCUCAUGUAGCCACCACUUGGCCUUCGCUGUGCACUUACCUGGUUCUGGGUAAUGGGGUCUUCAGUUGCCUUUGCAGAAAAGAACACAGAAGUGUGAUCAUGAGAUUUUGUGAAGAGCACUCAGUAAUUACCAUAGGACCCAGGGAGCUGUCUGGGAAGGAUUCGAAAACACUUGUGACAGAGGCCUGUUGAUUGUCCUUCCACGGUGCUUGAGCUGCUGCUUUUUCUGAGCACUUCCUAACUAAUUGGAAGCCAAGCUGAGCAUUAGUCUAAAGCCCCAGGUAUGUCCAUUUGAUCAGGACUCCGCUUCUUGGUUUCUCACCGCAAGAACAUCAUGUGUAGCAACUGGAGUUUGCGUUCCUCUUAAAAAAGCUCUUGGGCCACAGUGAUUAUGCCAGAUUUAAAGGUCCAUGGGCUUAAUGGAUGUGGGUGGGGUCUGAAGUCACAGCUUUGAGAACAACUGGAGUUCAUGGUGAGAGGAGAGGAUGGAAAGAGGGGCAGCACUGUGAAUGCUGCAUCCUUUUAAAGAUAAGCAGCGUUUGGAAAGAGUAGAUGGUAGAGCCCAAGCUAUUUCUCAACUGCCGUGAUUGAGUGUGCUAUGCGCAGGGAUAGGCUAGGUAGGGGAUACCUAGGCAGCCUUUACUUACAAAUUAGCCAGGAUUGGCUGAACUUGAUAGAAAUAUAACUGGUUUAAGCAAAAGGAAAAAAAAAGGAAAAAUUUUGGUUCAAAUAUCUUCAAGCUUGCAUAGAUAGAGGCUGCUUUCAGGCAUAGCUGGAUCUGGGGGUCCAAAUGUGUCCAAAUGUGUCAUCAAGACUCCAUCUUGCCGUGUCUCUCAGUUCUGCUGUCUUCCCAUUAGCACCGAGGUCCUCUGGACUUGUAUCCUAUCAGCUAAGCAACCUCAAUGGGAAAGAACAGUGUUUUUCCCAAAAAUUUCAACAGAAGUUGUUGAACUGAUUCCCAUUGGCCUGGUUUGAGCUGUAUGACCAUCCUUAAGUCAAUUAACAUGUGACCAGGAGGGUGUGAUGCUCUGGUUGUCUGGGUCUGGGUCACCUGUCCCUCUUGUCCUGCAGUCAUGACAGGGGGUCAGACCUAACUGAACCACCAGCCCUGAGAAUGGAGGAAAGUUGGCUCCCCAGGGAAAAUUGGUUGUUGUUAACAGAAAACGGAGGAGCAGGUGCUGGUGAGGCAGAAAUAGCAGAAUGUCCAUGGCAACUUAGCACUGGAAGGGCUUGUUGAAAGGCUGUUCGAUUACUUUCUAGAAGGAAAAGAGCAUGUGUGUUGCUGUUACAGAUCUUCCUGAGAACGUUUGUGUCGUCAUCCUUGGCCCUGAUCUGCAGUUAGGAGGGCAUAUGUCAUUAGACUUCAGACAACUGGGAUUUAUUUCAUGAAGUUUACAAAGUAGAGAGCAAAACACUGGCUUUGUAAAAAAGCAAAAAGCAAAAAAACAAAAAAACAUUUGGAGAUCCUGAAAGUCAGAGCAUUAUCUUUCCCAAGGGAGCUUCAAGGGACACAAAAUGAACCAAAAAAUGCUUAUUGAUAUGUCUAAACUGUGCCCAGAAAUACCAUUCAUUAAAUGUUAUCUCCAGUGAGAGACUCUGGGAAGGUCUUAAUACUCUGCGACACUCAGGCUCUCCCACUUAAUAAGGGAAGGCUUGUUCUGGCCGUGGUCCAAUGGAGCUUGCUACAUUCUAUCUCCCAAAUUCCCUUUCCAUUUCCUGUGGAAUUCUUCCCUUUUUUCUUUUCCUUUUAUCUUUUUUUUAUCUUUUUUUUAAAAGAAAUUGUUAAAAUUCCUUUUCCAGCCUGAAUUUGCUUCCUGGUUAUUUAUAAGAGCUGUGUGCCACCCAGAGGUGGCUGGUUUUUCAGACAGAGACAUGCACGUUUUAUCUUUAGUGUUCCUCCUUAAUUUGAAUGUGGAGUGAAAUGUGACCAGACCCAGGGUUUGGUCAGGUGUCGCCAUGUCUAGAGGAUGACAGUAGCAGUCAGGACGCUUUGCUUUGAAAGUAACAAAAAACCCAGCUCAGACUGGCUGAAAUGCUACAGGAAUUUAUUGGCUCGGUAGCUCAAAUGUCUAGGGAUUAUCAAGCUGCAGGCAUAGUUUGAUCAGGCAUUUUUCACCUGCUUUAGUCACUGAUGUAAUGACCUAGGCACUUAGAGCACUGUUCCUAAUAGUAAAUAUUUUUUGAAUGAAGAAAAUUAUUCUGACUCUGCCUUUUUCUGUGGGUUGGUUUGUGGGUGAAGAGGCAAAAUCUUCUUUCUGUCUGUCUCUCCUUCUUUCUCUCCUCUCCCCUCUGCCAACAGUGCUCCCACUUGCAUUACUAUUUUGCUAAAUCCUCACAAAUGCCCAAGGCCUCUAGCAUUUUACAGCAAAGGAAACCAAGGCCAGAACUCUGAAAGAAUGUACCGUUGGACAGUCCUUUCACUCCCCUAUAGAGCUCUGAUGGCAGAUAUUUCUCUUCUAAUUUCUCAGCCCAUACCUUUUUUUAUAUCCCAAAUGAGCCGCUGCCCCUCAGCCAGCAGGAUAAGGAGCUGAAAUUCAUUUUCUAGUCCUGCUGGUCUCUAUAUUUUCAAAUUGGCAGCAGAAUCCUUUUCUAAUCAUAACUGCUGUUAGUUUGUGAAACGGGAACAUGUGGCAGCUAGAGCAAUGCAUGGGGAGAGUGGGGAACCCUGGGCCUCCCUGGGGAGAAGCAUUGCUCUCCCCCCGCCCCCACCCCAGGCCAGGUCUCUACAACAUGGGAGCUGUGCCGAUUCUAGCUUUUCUGAAUUUAAACCUUUUAUACCUCCAGAGCAUCCCAAAGCUCACAUGGUCGUCUUUCUUCCUUUUUUUUUUUUUAAGGUCUUUUUUUUUAUUAUUAUGUUCAAUUAACCACACUGUCUUUUUUCAAAUGACCAAAUGCACUCUGAUUGUGUGCAAACUGGAUUUCCAGUUAUUUAUUUCAAACAGUUAAUUUUUUUCAUUCUUUUAUUUAAAAACGUCCCAUGUCCUUGGGCUGAACCUCCUGAUGGAGGAGGUCCCCCUGCUUCUCCUGCUACUCCUUAUGGAUGGUAUAUCAAAGAGAUGCAUGUUGGGCCCUGACACCCUUCUGGAGGACAGACUUAGGUGAACCAAGUCCAAGGUGAGAAAGAGGACAAACAGAGCCCAACUAAAAAUUACGCGGUUUGAACUUCAAUCAAGACCCCAAAAUCAAAGGCGGUGUGUGACAGGUCCCACAUAGUUGCCAGGAUUUUUUAAAUGGGCCUCUCUUGCCAGGCUGAGGAUCCACAGGCCAGAGAUAACACUGACGAGAAGCCAGGAGUCUCUCCAGUUGUGGUGUGGAUCUGCACCAGUAGCCUGGGCCAGGGCCCACAGCAUUUCAUGUGUGCUCCCCUGGGUCAAUUCACCGCACCACAUCGCCUAGCUCUUUGUGAACCCAGACAAGAAGAAGACACCAUUAGCAGCCCGACUGCCAAGUUGUUCCCUCCUCUCAACCCUCAGGCCGGGUAUUAUCUGUACAGGUAAGAUGGGGAACCGUGUAACAGAAGGCAGAGCAGGUAGGUUUGCACGCACCUGCUUGAACAACCCUUCUUGAUAAAUGGGCGGAGGCCCACCUGCAUGGAGGUCUUUCUUCGUCCUGCUUGUCAUUAGUGGUCUCAACAGAGAGAUGUGAGGGAGGGAGGCUUGGCACAUUUGCAGCUGAAACGAAGCCAGGACAGUUCUAUAGAUGAGAGAAGGAAAGCUUCAAGAGGUCUCAGGCUCCAUCCAGGCGUGAUGGAUGGAGUCACCAGGGAACAGUGUCAAGUCUUAGGUUUAGAUCCAUGAAAUCAAUUCCCUCAUCCCCACAUCAGUGGGAAGCCCAGCCUUUAACUCCCUUCCUGAGGUUCCAACUCUGAAUGUCUCUCUAUUUGCUCAGAGACGUUCCUUCAGGUCUGCAGACCUUCCGCAUGGAUCCCUUUCGUCCCUGAAGUGGUUUCUGGGGCUGUAUGGGAAUGCUCUGCCCCACUCCAUGCCCGCUUGUGCCAGUACCAUCUAGCACUGUGGGACCCACGGGGGGACCGAGUGGGGACUGUGGUUUCCAUAGCCACACAUAGGACAUGAAGCUCCCCAGACUGGGGACCAGGCGGAGGCUGCACAGGACUUGGGGUAGGCAGUGCUGCUGAGCAGGGGCUGGCCGCCACACGCCGACCGUUCCUGGCUGUGGGCUGGGCCUUGGAGGCUGCCGCAGACCUUGCUCCUUAUAUGACUGCCCGUGCCCAGAAUACCUGCUCUCCAGCUUUGCAGCGCCGGGGUUUUCACGGCUCUGCUCUCUGCUGGCCCUGCUUCGUUUGAGUCUGUCAGGAUCUUUAUCACGGCUGAAGAUUUUUUUUUUAGGGGUAUGUAUAUGAGUAGUUUCAAUGUUCUCUGAUAGCUCUUUUUUUUAAUUUAUAUUUUCUUCUCUCCCAAUUCAAUAUAUAUACAUAUAUAUGUAAAACAUGUGCAGCCUUCUGUGAAUAUUCUGUGAAUAUUGAAUAUGGAAGCAAUUACUCGAGGUUGCAGUAAUUACUUUUAUACAACUAGAGCUGGAGACUCGUGAAUCAAUUCCAUGCCCAUUAGCAAUGUAUGCUGGAGCCAAGAUUUUCUUUUCCUUUCUUUUUUUAAUAGGACUGGACAGUGUUGAAUCCUUGAAAAAAAAAACACUUUUCUAUUUUUUUUUAAGCUGACAGCACAUUCCGUCUACUCGGCAAUGUAGAACUAAUGAAGAUGUAAGUGUAAGAAAACCUAUAAUUGAAUGCAGCACGUAGCAGGCAUAGUUUAACACAAAGCACACCCAGCUGAAAUCACAUGUACUAGCUAGCGGUCUAAUCCUGUCAGGCCAGCCAGCGCUAGGAAGUAUUUCUGGAUUGUGUCUCAGGCGGUGUUUGCUCUCCAUGUAGCCAAGGCGGAAUAAAAAUGGCUUCAAGCUAAGUCAGGGAGCACCCAACGUGCCUUUGAUAAGGUUGCCCUUUGGUGGAUUAUUUAAAGGGUAACGAUAGGAAAAGUAAUCCUGAGAAACUGAGGUGUUUGGAUGAGAGAUCUCCUCAGAACUUUCCUUCCUUUUCCCUUGACAAUGUUUGUCAGCUCCCUGCGUGGUGGCCAGAGGUGUGUCUCUUCCCACAUUGCAGAAUUGGGGCAGUCCCUCAGGGACGUGCCUUUUGGUCCCAGCCCUCGGGUUUCCAGCAUUCAGGGCCUGAUCAACCCAGCUGACUAGUUCCCUGCAUCUGAGGACCCCUUUGAUGUGUGGUCAGCGUGGGAGGGAGACUAGAGUGGAAAUAUGUGUUUUCCUUUCAAAAUUCUUGAUUGGUGAUUCACUGCCAGGUGUCCCCAAUGCCCCCAGCUGCUCUGUCCCCUGCAGUUGCUCCCUGGGGAUGAGCGCUCCUGAUGCCUCGUCCUUGGCUCUGCCUUGCUUCCUGGCUGGGGAGGGAAACUUCGGCGUAGCCCCCAGAAACUGUGCUCUGAAUUGGUGCCUGCCAAAGGCAGGCAGACGUGUUCCUUUGUGAGCCUCUCCGACCAGCCAGCCUCACGGAAGGAGCACCGGGCUACAAAGGGCUUGAAGCUGAAUGCCUCUGCUUGGCUCCUCUAGGGCCCCCCACUCCCUGUUGUUUCCCAUCCAGCCAUAUUUGGGUUCUCUGUUGCUCCCCCCCUCCUUGACUGAGAUCACUGGAGCUGUGCUUAUGUGGAAACUGUAACAGAUUUAUACUGUGACACCCACUGCCAGGCUGCCCCCGCUCUGUCCCCAGUCCCUUGGGUUGAGGGCAUGCUUAGCUGCCUGGCCCCAGGAGCAAGGGCAUUCUGCUCCCAGUCUGUGGAAGGUAGCAUGACCUUCUGGGCUGGGCCCUGGGGAACCGGGCCAGAUGCGCUGCCAGGCCCCGUCCCCAGGACCUCAGAGGCCUGUGUUUGGGGCUGCAGGGAAGCCCCUGGGUGUCUGCUGAGCAGGCGGCCUCCGUCUGGACACCCAGCCCUUUCAGCUGUUGAGCCCUAGUUGGAAGAGGCAUUCCAGGGACAUUCUUUCUGUCUGGAUCAACGACUUGGCCUGAACUGUGAACCAAAAACCGGAACAAACUGCACCAGUUUGCUCAACCUCGAACCAAAUCCAAAUAGUUUUUAUAUCACUAAGAACCAAACCAGAGUUCUGGGGUUUGGUUUGGUUUGUUUUCCCACCAGAGAACAUUCAGUGAACGAGGCCAAACUGGAACAGGACUCGUCUACCUCCUCAGGCGACUGAGAGGGAACACGAAGAGAACCUCAGCAUGGAUUUUGGACCAAGUUGGCUCAUGGGCUGGAACACACUAGAAGGCAGGGUUAGAGCUGCAGGGAUUGCACUAGGUUGACUCCAGGAUGGAGGGGCUGUGGUGAGAGACCUCUGCUCAGAAGACAGGCGAAGUGCAGAUCCACAUCUCUGUGGACGGUGCUCUGUGGUGUGGGUGGCCCAGAAACUUGCUACCGGGCAGCCAUGAUGACUGCAGGAUGCCACAGAUGGGCACAGCGCCAUGCAACAGGUAGGGACUUGAAUAAAAUGAUGUUGAUUUUUCAGAAGUUUUUUACGGUCUAUUCCGGGUAAAUCAAUAGGCAGUUUUCGUUAGCUUCUGGCCCAUGCUAAGGCACAUCCCAAAGAGGUAACAACCGCACGACUCCUGCUAUCUUGGAGCCCAUGGGACACCUUGGGGGUGUUAUGUGAUACUACAGUGCACUGAAGAGAAGCUGCAAUGGUUUAAAUAGUGUACCCCCCCCACAUUUGUAUCUGGCCGGAAACCUAGAAGGUAACUUUUUCAGGAAAUUGGGUCUUUGCAGAUGUCAUUAGUUGUGGGUCUCGAGAUGAAAUCAUCCUGGAUGUAGGGUGGGCCCUGAAUCCAAUGACUAGAGAAUUGUGGGGAGAAGAAGACCAUGUGAGGACAGAGGCAGAGGUAGGAGGGAGGCAGCCAUAAGCCAGGGGACCAGGUGCUGGAAGAGGCAAGAAAGGAAUCUCCUGUGGUGCCUUUGCAGGGAGCACAGCCCUGGUGACACCUUGAUCUCAGACCUCUAGCCUCCUGUAUUGUGCGGGACAGUAAAUGUCUGUUGAACUGAAGCCAUCCAAUGUGUGAUGCUUUGUCAUGGCGGCCAUAGGACGCUCCUACGGAAGCCCUGGAGACACACAGGGCCUGCCACACCCACACCUCCUCUCUGAGGAAAAUGGUAUCUUUUGUGUCCUGUGGCUUCACUACCCUCGUCACACACGGUCGGACCAAGGAUUGGCUAGACUCAUGACAGUGGCCGCCCAUGCGGGGCCUGGUUCCUCUAGAUGGGAAGGCCUUCUACCAACCGUUCUUUGACCAAGGGAGACACAUACACCCCAUAGGGGCAUGGUGGGAAGAGAAGUGGAGCCAGAAGGCAGAAAGCAUGAGGCAAGCAGAGCAGGAGAGAGAGGGAGAGAGAAGGAGAGAAAGAGUAAGGCUGUGUUGAGAAUGACAGGGUCGCGAGAAUCGCCAGCCGCACGGCCCCCUCUAGGAGGACAGGUCCCUGUGACACUCCACAGAAGCCCAAGUCUGGUUACUGUGAUUGUGUUUGCUUUCUGGGCCCUUCACUUCCUCUGGAUUCUUACAAUUCAUCCCCAAGUCCACAGAGAACUGGAGCAUUUCUCUGUCCUCUUCAAUCUGAAACAGCCCAUUCAACACACAAACACCACAGAAGUGAAACCACCACAGAAGAAUAAGAGUUCGGGUGUGGUUGUGUUUAAUCCAAGGCUUGUCCAUAGAACUUGUUUGCUGGCUGUGUUGGCCUGUGCAGGUUUCUUAACCUCUCUGAGUUGCGGCGUCCUCUUGUAUCAGAUGGGAUUAAUGUCAUCCUCCAGAGGGUUUUGUUAAGGGUUAAAUAAGCCAUAGAAAGUGACCUAUCCACUACAAUGCCUAGCAUAAAGCAUGCCCUUGAUAGUUUCCUUCCCUUCAAGUGUCUGUACCUGAGACUGGACUUGGGUCUGGGCCUGUGGUGUUGGAAACAGAUGUGUGCUUCCAGUUGAACCAGUCUGGCAAGCGAUAAUUUGAAAAUGCUUUGGUUGGGUUUAAUAACAAAAUUUAAGUUUAGUUUGUUUGGAAAUUUAGCAGAUGAGUGUGGUUUUGGGUCCUCCCCACCCUCUUUAUGUUUGUUGGUUUAUGGCUUGAUUCAGUCGAUGUCCCUGAAAGAACCCGCCCAUAUAGCCUUAAUUUAAUCAGCAGAAAUCUUGCAGAAAUAGAUUUUUGAAAACCACUAGCCUGCCAAAACAUUCCCUGGCUUAUCAAAUAUUUUUUACAAGUCUGAUAACACUCAGUACACCAUUGGACCUUAACAGUACUCUGCAGCCAAAUCAGCAAUGACCUCACCCACCUUUCCCCAGCGCUGUGCCCUUCUCUCUUCCUCCAGCCCUGAGGCCUCCCACUUCCUGUCCCUUAGUUCCUUAAGAGAAGGAAGAACAUAAGAUUUCUUGAAUGUUGGCAUUUUCAACCUGAGCACAGCGACUUAGCAACAACAAAAGAGAGUUUGGACAAAACAGAUGACAUGAUCUGUUGCCGCAUAUUUUGUCUUUGGAAGGUUGAAAUGCAUUUCAAGCCCUAGCCUAUAUUUUUCAUCCUUUCUCUCCUCCACACCCCAAUCCUCUUCCUAACAGCUGUGCUCAGCAGGCCUUUUCUCUGGCUGAGCAGCUCUGGGAGGUGGGUCUCCUCCGGCACACCCUCUCUGAUAUGGUCACCUGCUGCUGCACUCCAACAGCCGAGUGGAAGGCAGGACAGAAGAGCCUGGUGUGAACAGCUGAGAAUACCUGUCAGCUAGGGGCAGGUGAGGGGCAGUGUGACAAAGGGUGAGCCUGUGUGCAGAGGCUGCAAGGGGUUCAGCCAUAUUUUCUUUAAAAAAAAAAAAAGAUGUGUGGCAAACAUGGCGUAAUGUUAAGACUUGAUAAAAUUAGUUAGAGGUGACAGUCUGCGCUAAUAUCCUCCAGACUUGCCUAAAUGUUUGAAAUACCUUGUCGUGAAACUUUAUUUUAAUAGUACUUUCAAAGAGAGGUUUUGGACUUAAAAAGAAAAAAGAAAUGAAAGCAUCUGCUGUGUUAAGAAAGGCUUCAGUUGGGGUACCUGGGUGGCUCAGUCAGUUAAGCGUCUGCCUUCGGCUCGGGUCAUGAUCCCAGGGUCCUGGGAUCAAGACCCGUGUCAGGCUCCCUGCUCAGUGGGGUGCCUGCUUCUCCCUCUGCUACUCCCCCUGUGCUCACUCUCUCUCAAAUAAAUACAUAAAAUCUUUUAAAAAAGGAGAAAGAGAAAGUCUUCAGUUGUAGCAGUCCAUACAGAAUUUGCCGUGUGUCAGUGGGAACUGGGGUAUUGAAAUGGGCCUCACAUUUGAAUGACUUUCCUGAGCAUGUUUUGAGAUCAAGGUCAAAGUAGUUUUUGUUUCCUCCCCCCAAACAAAGCCACGCAUCCAACCCAUGGACCCAAUGUUAACCCUUGAAGGAUUCGAUCAUGUAUGAAAGUUUCUUCAAAUAGAACCUUCUUCGUAGUGGUAUUUUUUAUACUUUCCAUCCAGAGCCAGUUUAUUUCUCAAGAUUGUUCCCUGUUGGAUCAAAAGAGAAGUAUCUGUUCCAUCAUUGCCCAUGGCCAGGACACUGGUUCCUGGUGAAGUUUGUGAGGUUCCAGGACAAUGUGUGUCAUGCGAGGGCCACUGCACGCUCCCCUGUACGUGAGGGAGCAUACGUGUUCCUGGGUCUUGGUCUGCCGGUCAUCCAUGGUACUCUCAGCGAAGCCCCAUGGAAUGUCAGGGGUGGGGUAGGGCAGCAAAUUCAUGCCCAGCACCGCGGCAAGCCUUAAUUUGCUCCUGAGAUGGUUGAGGACCAGGGUAGCACUAUUUAUAGACGAACCACUUCAUGAUGACCCAGUGCUGCUCACAUAUUUUUCGUUUCUCCAUUGAAGUAUAUAAUUACCCUUUCCUUGGCUAUGAACUUUCAGAAUAUGGAGCAGCCACACUCACAAGGACCUCCUACGACUAGCGGUGACUUCUUUGACUUUCUUGGAGGAGCUGCCCGGUGAUCUCAGCCUGUCUUCUGGGCAGCAGCAAAGGUCCCAGGGUGGGCUAAGUGUGUGCAAUGGGCGUUUGGAAGUCAGAGGUGAGCUGUCAUGUCCUGGACUUUCUGGUCACUUGAAUGGACUGCCUUUUUCUUAUCUUUCUCAUGGCAGUGGUAGCAUCCAAAGACGUUGCUAAGUUAAUGAAAGUGCCCCUGGUGGCCAAAGCUGGCAUAAAUUGAGCAACAAAACAAAGUAGUGUUGCUUUAUUACCCAAAAUAUGAAAUAAAUAUCCAUGAGUGCAUACUGACAUAAAAAAAAUGAUUGAUAAAGCAACAAAGAGGUAGAAGAAACAACUCACCUGUACAGAUAAAUUCCAGAUAAUAAGUGUAGACACCUCAUCUUAAAGGAGGGGAGAGCCACACAUAGCAACUUUCUUCCAAAGACACUAAGCAAAAGGAGAAAAAAGACAAACUUCCCAGUGGAGACACCUGAAAAACAGCUCCUCUGCCAGGAGAUCAAGGUCAGCAUCAACAAUCAAAAAUCAUGUCGAUAGCACGUGCCCUUGAUAUUGUUGUAAUGAAAAUAGCAUUUCACCUCUGUGGUCUUUCUCUCCCAAAUCCAUAACCUCAACCUAAUCAUGAGAAAAACACUAGACAGAUACCAAUAGUAGGACAUCCUGCACUGUACCUGACCAGUGCUCUUCAAAACUGUCAAAGUCAUAAAAAACAAGGAAAGUCUGAGAAGCUGUUACAGCCAAGAGGACCCUGAGAAGAUGGGACUGCUAAAUAUAAUGUGGCAUCCUAGAUGGGAUCCAGAACUGAAGGGCAUUAGUUUAAAACCAAGGAAACUGAGGUGCCUGGGUGGCUCAGUUGGUUAAGCAUCUGACUAUUGAUUUCGGCUCAGGUCAUGAUGUCAGCGUCGUGAGCUCGAGCCCCAUGUGGGGCUCCAUGGAUUCUCUAUCUUCCUCUGCCCCCUCACCUCUCUCUAAGAAACAAACAAAAAACCCAAGGAAAUCCGAAUAAAUGAUUAAAUUAAAUUAAGUAAUUAGGUAUCAGUAUUGGUUCUUUAAUUGUGACAAACGGAGCUCCUGGGUGUCUCAGUUGGUUAAACAUAUGCCUUGGGUUCAGGUCAUGAUCCCAGGGUCCUGCCAGCCCUGCCUUGGGCUCCACUCAGCAGGUAGUUUGCUUCUCCCUGUGCCCGUCCCCCCUGCUUGUAUGCACUCUCUCUCUCAAAAAUAAGAAUAAAUAAAAUCUUUAAAAAACCCAUUAAUUAUGACAAAUAUACCAUACCAAUGUGAGAUGCUAAUAAUGGGGGAACUGUGUGUGGGGAGAAGGAAUAUAUGGGAACUCUAUAGUAUCUUUGUAAUUUUUCUGUAAGUCUAAAACCAUUCUGAAAAAUGAAGCUUAUUAAUUUAAAAAAAAUUAAAAUAGAAAAUGUAUACAGACAUUAUUGCAAAUAUUUGUGUUCCACCCAUGCGUAAA
This is a long non-coding RNA of Ailuropoda melanoleuca (giant panda), 14480 nucleotides long. RefSeq lists it as uncharacterized. The record is from RefSeq and is a predicted model, not a curated record. Lineage: Eukaryota; Metazoa; Chordata; Mammalia; Carnivora; Ursidae. The transcript has 7 exons.